RNAcentral lists this transfer RNA (72 nucleotides) under Podarcis lilfordi (Lilford's wall lizard). It matches the Rfam family "tRNA". From Rfam's summary of the family: Transfer RNA (tRNA) molecules are approximately 80 nucleotides in length. Their secondary structure includes four short double-helical elements and three loops (D, anti-codon, and T loops). Further hydrogen bonds mediate the characteristic L-shaped molecular structure. tRNAs have two regions of fundamental functional importance: the anti-codon, which is responsible for specific mRNA codon recognition, and the 3' end, to which the tRNAs corresponding amino acid is attached (by aminoacyl-tRNA synthetases). tRNAs cope with the degeneracy of the genetic code in two manners: having more than one tRNA (with a specific anti-codon) for a particular amino acid; and 'wobble' base-pairing, i.e. permitting non-standard base-pairing at the 3rd anti-codon position. Lineage: Eukaryota; Metazoa; Chordata; Lepidosauria; Squamata; Lacertidae. The record is from Rfam by way of RNAcentral.
GGGGCUGCAGCUCAGCGGCAGAGCAUCUGCUUGGAAUGCAGAAGGUCACAGGUUCAAUCCCUGGCUGCAUCU